RNAcentral lists this non-coding RNA (193 nucleotides) under Nakaseomyces bracarensis. Lineage: Eukaryota; Fungi; Ascomycota; Saccharomycetes; Saccharomycetales; Saccharomycetaceae. The record is from RNAcentral.
AAGAAAAGUCUUAUAUAUAUAAAUUAAUAAUAUUUUAAAUAAAUAUUAUUAUAAUAAAAUAAUUAAUAUAAAUAAAUAAUAUGAAAUAUAUACUUUAAUAUCAUAUAUAAUUAAUAAUAAUAAUAAAUAUUAUUAUAAAGUUAUAUAACUAUAUAUAUAUAUUUAAUAUAUAUAUAUACAUAAAUAAGCUUAU